Molecule: non-coding RNA, 73 nt
Organism: Ruminococcus sp. 37_24
Lineage: Bacteria; Bacillati; Bacillota; Clostridia; Eubacteriales; Oscillospiraceae
Source: Rfam
UGCGGAUUAGAGAAGUAGUUAACUCGCUUGGCUCAUAACCAAGAGAACAUUGGUGCAAAUCCAAUAUCCGCUA